Molecule: long non-coding RNA, 2475 nt
Organism: Choloepus didactylus (southern two-toed sloth)
Lineage: Eukaryota; Metazoa; Chordata; Mammalia; Pilosa; Megalonychidae
Exons: 3
Source: RefSeq, a predicted model, not a curated record
CAUCCCCUCCCCGCACCUUCCUCCCUUCCAUCCCCUCCUUCUUCUCCCUCAAGUCAACGAGGCCGUCGCUGUCGCUCCAGCUGCAGCGUGGCGGGGCUGCGCGCGGCUGGCGGAGACUGCGGCUGGCCAGGGAGAGAUGACCUUAAAGCUGACCGCCCUCCCCCACCCCACUCACAACCUGAAAGCUGGGCUGGAAGGAGCCCAAUUCCGAAAUAAGGAAAUCCGUUCUCCACUUGCGUCUUCCUGACCCUGCUUCGAAACAGCUUCUCCAACGCAGACCCCAUCCAGCUUCCCAUUAGGUUUCUCCAGUAUGGCUCCUGCCAACAUUGCUCUAUGCAUUUUCUUUACUAUAUAUUGUGAAACAUAUGAAGUCAUGUGGGAACAAACACCUCUACUAUCAAAGAAAAGUCAUAGAGGAAAGAGUCUAACAGCGAGGUCCUGCAUUAUGGAAUAAAUAAUACCUGAUUAGCAUAAGUUCACAAUUCUCUGGAUUUUCUCUAUUUUUUCAAGAAAGGAUGUAAAACAAAAUUCAUGUCUAUCCUUGCAGCUCUUUUUCUUGUAAAUGUGAUUAUUGUAGUUAGAUAGAAAAUAUUCUUAUUUCUUGAGGGGAGUCAGAAUGGGAAACAGUGCCCCAAGGGAAUUUCCCCAGGGGGAGAUAUGCUACUAUAGACCUCAGGCUGCAAGGUCAGUGAAAACCUAUCCUGCACUAUACUUUUGUUCUGGAAGCUUUUGGAACCCAGAGAAAUCAUGCUUUAGUGUUAUUUAGGGAGAUCACAAGUCAGGAAGGUUGUAAAUGUUCUGGAAGCUCAUAGAAAGUUUUUAGAUAUUAAUAAAUUUAAUGGAAGAUUAAACCUAAAUUACUUCUUUCCAAGGAUCAGCAUAGGACACUCUAAAGAUUCCUUUUAUCUUAACCACCAGUAUAUGCAGAUUUACCUUGCUGAACAGAGCAUACACAUUUCUCAUUGUUUUACAACUCGGCAGCUCUUUUUGUGUGUGUCAAAUGAAAACUGUAAACUAGAUUACUGUACAUUUUAUUCUUUGUAGUGUUUCCCAUUGUCAGACACUGAGAUCUUCAUUCUUAAAGGGUUGGAUCAAUGGUUGACUUUGUUUUGAAGCUUGUAUUUAAGAAGGUAUUUUAAAAUAAUGAAGUUCUUGCUCUUAACAUCUUCAGAAAUCAGUCCUCAAAGACCACUGCCCCACUUGUCAAUCUAGCGGACCCUGCCAUGUAACAACAAAGACCAUGAAAGUUGCUGGUAAACUGCUUUGAGUGAGAGCAGUUUACUUUCUCAAUAGAUGAGAACAGAGGUGUUUUUUUUGUUUUGUUUUAACAAAAUGAAAUUCAAUUUUAUAAAGCUUUCUGAGUCUUUGAACUGCUUUCUUUAAACACUCUUAGUAAAAUCUUUCAUGUGAAUUUCAUUAAGCUUCGAGGUCAUUUAGGAGAAAAUGGUAAGCAUAUCAAUGACAGAAGUGCUUUGCAUUUAAUGCAUAUGUGUGCCUAUCAAGAGGAUAUGUUAAGACAAGAGACCCACAUUCAUUUUCUGUUAUUACUAUUAUAUUUGCAAACAUCUUAAUGUAUCACAAAUAAAUAUUUAUGAUAAAUUGUCUCACUCAUUGUGGCUCCUAGCUAUGAGCAUAUCUACUGUACAAUAAAUAUCCCAUGUCACUAUGGUUAUUUCUACCAAUGAACUAAGAAUCAGACAGACAGAGAAAGAGUCAGACAGAAUAAUCUGUUAUUCUUUUAACCGAUUUUUAAUUACAUCUGAGAGCCCAAGAUUAUCCCCAUAAUUUUGAGAGGGAUAAUUAUAUGAUAUAUAUACACAUACAUAUGCAUAUAUAUUUGUUUUUAAAUUCAUGAAAUAUAUAUGCCUAUUGGGUUAAGAAUCUAAGAUUUUACCUAUUUUAUAUAUCCUCAUCUCAUUAAAAAAUGUUGCAAUAAGAUGUAUAAAUAUUAAUGUGUAUUAAUAUAUUUUUGUUAUGUAGAUAUGUCAAGAUAACAGAAGUUUUAAAUUCUUGUGAGCUUCAGAUAUCAUAUACUAGCAAUCAUUAAUGAUGAUGAUGAAAGGAGAUUUUCUUCAAACAAGUACUAAUUAGUGUUGUCAAUAAAUUUGUAAAUAGUAUGCUAUUUGAGCUUGUUAAUUCAUAUAACUUACUGACGGUUGUGACUACUAUACACAAUUUUGGAAAACAUUGCUAGUAAAAGAAUAUCUCUCCACUGAAGUAAACAAAAUAUCAUUAAGAAAAAAUAAUGAACAUGAUAGAAAAUGUAAUUUGUAUUGUGGUGAUUUGCUAUUUCUUAAAAAUAUGAUAGCUGCAGUAGAGUCUUGAUUAUCUUGAAUGCUCAAUAAUAGCUCUUGUAUAAUUGUAUUUUUGAUUAAGAGUUUAUUGGCAUUGCUCUUCUUUCAAUCCUUCUGUUACUUUUCUAUGAAAUAUAUUAGAAUAGUUCCUGCCUUAGUAAAUAAAGUAUACUAAACAUCA